Molecule: ribosomal RNA, 819 nt
Filed under: Streptomyces sp.
Lineage: Bacteria; Bacillati; Actinomycetota; Actinomycetes; Kitasatosporales; Streptomycetaceae
Description: bacterial SSU rRNA
Rfam family: Bacterial small subunit ribosomal RNA
Source: RNAcentral
CAUGCAAGUCGAACGAUGAAGCCGCUUCGGUGGUGGAUUAGUGGCGAACGGGUGAGUAACACGUGGGCAAUCUGCCCUUCACUCUGGGACAAGCCCUGGAAACGGGGUCUAAUACCGGAUAAUACUCCUGCCUGCAUGGGUGGGGGUUGAAAGCUCCGGCGGUGAAGGAUGAGCCCGCGGCCUAUCAGCUUGUUGGUGGGGUAAUGGCCUACCAAGGCGACGACGGGUAGCCGGCCUGAGAGGGCGACCGGCCACACUGGGACUGAGACACGGCCCAGACUCCUACGGGAGGCAGCAGUGGGGAAUAUUGCACAAUGGGCGAAAGCCUGAUGCAGCGACGCCGCGUGAGGGAUGACGGCCUUCGGGUUGUAAACCUCUUUCAGCAGGGAAGAAGCGCAAGUGACGGUACCUGCAGAAGAAGCGCCGGCUAACUACGUGCCAGCAGCCGCGGUAAUACGUAGGGCGCAAGCGUUGUCCGGAAUUAUUGGGCGUAAAGAGCUCGUAGGCGGCUUGUCACGUCGGAUGUGAAAGCCCGGGGCUUAACCCCGGGUCUGCAUUCGAUACGGGCUAGCUAGAGUGUGGUAGGGGAGAUCGGAAUUCCUGGUGUAGCGGUGAAAUGCGCAGAUAUCAGGAGGAACACCGGUGGCGAAGGCGGAUCUCUGGGCCAUUACUGACGCUGAGGAGCGAAAGCGUGGGGAGCGAACAGGAUUAGAUACCCUGGUAGUCCACGCCGUAAACGUUGGGAACUAGGUGUUGGCGACAUUCCACGUCGUCGGUGCCGCAGCUAACGCAUUAAGUUCCCCGCCUGGGGAGUACGGC